UACGAAGGGGGCUAGCGUUGCUCGGAAUUACUGGGCGUAAAGGGCGCGUAGGCGGCGCAUUUAGUCAGGCGUGAAAGCCCUGGGCUCAACCUGGGGACUGCGCUUGAUACGGGUGUGCUAGAGGACGGAAGAGGGUCGCGGAAUUCCCAGUGUAGAGGUGAAAUUCGUAGAUAUUAGGAAGAACACCAGUGGCGAAGGCGGCUCACUGGCCCGGUACUGACGCUGAGGCGCGAAAGCGUGGGGAGCAAACAGG
This 253-nucleotide ribosomal RNA is filed under the name uncultured bacterium. RNAcentral's name for it is "partial 16S ribosomal RNA". It matches the Rfam family "Bacterial small subunit ribosomal RNA", at positions 524 to 776 of the family's 1533-position model. The record is from RNAcentral.